UCCGGCUCUACGCCGGCAGUCUCCUUAGAGUCCCCGCCAUUACGCGCUGGCAACAUGGAACGAGGGUUGCGCUCGUUGCGGGACUUAACCCAACAUCUCACGACACGAGCUGACGACAACCAUGCACCACCUGUGAACCGGCCCCAAAGGGGAAACCACAUCUCUGCGGCGAUCCGGCCCAUGUCAAGCCUUGGUAAGAUUCUUCGCGUUGCAUCGAAUUAAUCCGCAUGCUCCGCCGCUUGUGCGGGCCCCCGUCAAUUCCUUUGAGUUUUAGCCUUGCGGCCGUACUCCCCAGGCGGGGCACUUAAUGCGUUAGCUACGGCGCGGAAAACGUGGAAUGUCCCCCACGCCUAGUGCCCAACGUUUACGGCUGGGACUAC
Molecule: unclassified non-coding RNA, 380 nt
Filed under: uncultured Micrococcaceae bacterium
Lineage: Bacteria; Bacillati; Actinomycetota; Actinomycetes; Micrococcales; Micrococcaceae
Description: contains 16S-23S intergenic spacer region
Source: RNAcentral